Molecule: transfer RNA, 63 nt
Filed under: Criotettix japonicus
Lineage: Eukaryota; Metazoa; Arthropoda; Insecta; Orthoptera; Tetrigidae
Description: tRNA-His
Source: RNAcentral
GCUUAAAUAGUUUAAGGAAAAUUUUAAUUUGUGGUAUUAAUGAUGUAUAAUGUACUUUAGGCU